GUGGUCACUUGGUCAGACUUGGGGAAA
Molecule: non-coding RNA, 27 nt
Filed under: Rattus norvegicus (Norway rat)
Lineage: Eukaryota; Metazoa; Chordata; Mammalia; Rodentia; Muridae
Source: RNAcentral